UCCGUAGGGGGUACCUGCGGAGGGAUCAUUACACAAAUAUGAAGGCGGGCUGGAACCUCUCGGGGUUACAGCCUUGCUGAAUUAUUCACCCUUGUCUUUUGCGUACUUCUUGUUUCCUUGGUGGGUUCGCCCACCACUAGGACAAACAUAAACCUUUUGUAAUUGCAAUCAGCGUCAGUAACAAAUUAAUAAUUACAACUUUCAACAACGGAUCUCUUGGUUCUGGCAUCGAUGAAGAACGCAGCGAAAUGCGAUAAGUAGUGUGAAUUGCAGAAUUCAGUGAAUCAUCGAAUCUUUGAACGCACAUUGCGCCCUUUGGUAUUCCAAAGGGCAUGCCUGUUCGAGCGUCAUUUGUACCCUCAAGCUUUGCUUGGUGUUGGGCGUCUUGUCUCUAGCUUUGCUGGAGACUCGCCUUAAAGUAAUUGGCAGCCGGCCUACUGGUUUCGGAGCGCAGCACAAGUCGCACUCUCUAUCAGCAAAGGUCUAGCAUCCAUUAAGCCUUUUUUCAACUUUGACCUCGGAUCAGGUAGGAU
Molecule: ribosomal RNA, 533 nt
Filed under: Alternaria viticola
Lineage: Eukaryota; Fungi; Ascomycota; Dothideomycetes; Pleosporales; Pleosporaceae
Description: eukaryotic LSU rRNA
Rfam family: 5.8S ribosomal RNA (bases 197-350)
Source: RNAcentral